RNAcentral lists this long non-coding RNA (1583 nucleotides) under Bos indicus x Bos taurus (hybrid cattle). RNAcentral describes it as "lncRNA (ENSBIXG00000029232.1)". The record is from RNAcentral. Lineage: Eukaryota; Metazoa; Chordata; Mammalia; Artiodactyla; Bovidae.
CGCUGCCGCCCCGCAGCCAAGAGGACGCUCCUCACCGCCCAGCUCCUGGGCUGGGAAUGGAAAACGCUGGCAUUAAUCUCAUUGUUUGCUGCAGGCAGAGUACGAGCUGGCCCUAGAGCCUCACCUGGCCUCCUCAGACCUGCUUUCCAUCAAACGGUGCUCACCUGUUUGGAAACGUGGCAGGCAUUCUCAGCCCACCCACACCCCCACACCCCCAAGCUGGUUCUGCUACAAGUCUAAUCAAACCCUAAACCGGAAGGUUCUGGACCCACCCCCCAGCCCCAACUGCCGCGUGGGCGGGGCGGGGGAGGGGCGCGCUGGCAGAUUCAGGGUUGACCUUGGAAAUCUUCUGGCCCAAACUCACUUUCUGGCCCCAAAUCUCCUUCUGCACAAAGGGAAACUGAGGCCCAGAGAAGGACAGUCACUUGGCAUGCGGCUGGGGGGUGCCCCCAGAUCCAGAGAUAACUCCCAGGUCACAUGGAAUAAAGGUAGCCAAGGACCCCCUAAGUCUCUUGACAGAAACUCAGACCUCUCUAGGACCCCGUCUCCACGUAGCCACCUGAAAACUGGAAAUGGUGCCUGAAGUUCGCCUUGCUGCUGCUACUGCUGCUAAGUCGCUUCAGUUGUGUCCAACUCUGUGUGACCCCACAGACGGCAGCCCACCAGGCUCCCCCGUCCCUGGGAUUCUCCAGGCAAGAACACUGGAGUGGGUUGCCAUUUCCUUCUCCAAUGCAUGAAAGUGAAAAGUGAAAGUGAAGUCACUCAGUCGUGUCCGACUCUUAGCGACCCCAUGGACUGCAGCCCACCAGGCCCCUCUGUCCAUGGGAUUUUCCAAGGCAAGAGUACUGGAGUGGGAUGCCAUUGCCUUCUCUGAAGUUCGCCUUAGUCUGUCUUCUCUCUGAGAGCUCAUUUGUGUUUACAGAUUGAAUCACCAGCUCCAGGUACCUCUCCAUACUUCCCUGUUUGUGCCAGUGUUGCCUACUGUUAUCCCAGGGCCAUAGUUGCCACACUUUUUCUCUCUUCAUUAAAAACCCAAACUGAGUCUUGCUUUCCAGUCAGGCUCCAUCAACUCUUGUCCAAGUUCCAUUACGUCUUGUCUGCACUGUAGAGCCAAUGCCUAAGAGAUCUCCAACCUCUCCCUCCCUCCAUCCAUCCAGGGACUAUCACAAAAUUAACCUUCCUAUAGCAUGAUUUCCAAGUGUCACACUCUUUGGUGAAAAAAGAAUUCCAUGGGAAGGCAAUCUCAUGCUAAUAACACAUUUGUUUAAUGCAGCAGAGUUCAGAUAUUGAACUCUAUUGUGAAGCCUGCAUUAUUUUCCAUAAUUUAUGGGUGAGGAAACUGGUUCUGAGUAUUCAAUCAAGGCCCUCUGAGUCCAUGUUCAAUGACACAGUCACUUCUCACUAUGCCCCAAGCCCAAAAUAUGCCCAGGAAAACUUCCAAGACAGUGCAAGGCUGAUGUGCAAAUGAGUAGAGAAGGUAGGCCUCCCUUUGGACCAUGAAGGAUGGGGAAGAAUCACUAGGCAGAGAGGAGUGGGAAUUUUUUUUUUUUUUUUAAGAUUUAUUUAUUUUUAUUUGGGGGGCU